UACGUAGGGUGCAAGCGUUGUCCGGAAUUAUUGGGCGUAAAGAGCUCGUAGGCGGCCAACUAAGUCAGACGUGAAAUCCCUCGGCUUAACCGGGGAACUGCGUCUGAUACUGGAUGGCUUGAGUUUGGGAGAGGGAUGCGGAAUUCCAGGUGUAGCGGUGAAAUGCGUAGAUAUCUGGAGGAACACCGGUGGCGAAGGCGGCAUCCUGGACCAACACUGACGCUGAGGAGCGAAAGCCAGGGGAGCAAACGGG
This 253-nucleotide ribosomal RNA is filed under the name uncultured bacterium. RNAcentral's name for it is "partial 16S ribosomal RNA". It matches the Rfam family "Bacterial small subunit ribosomal RNA", at positions 524 to 776 of the family's 1533-position model. The record is from RNAcentral.